This 489-nucleotide ribosomal RNA is filed under the name uncultured bacterium. RNAcentral's name for it is "partial 16S ribosomal RNA". It matches the Rfam family "Bacterial small subunit ribosomal RNA", at positions 30 to 507 of the family's 1533-position model. The record is from RNAcentral.
UUGCACGCUGGCGGCAGGCCUAACCCCUGCAAGUCGAACGGUAACAGGAAGAAGCUUGCUUCUUUGCUGACGAGUGGCGGACGGGUGAGUAAUGUCUGGGAAACUGCCUGAUGGAGGGGGAUAACUACUGGAAACGGUAGCUAAUACCGCAUAACGUCGCAAGACCAAAGAGGGGGACCUUCGGGCCUCUUGCCAUCGGAUGUGCCCAGAUGGGAUUAGCUAGUAGGUGGGGUAACGGCUCACCUAGGCGACGAUCCCUAGCUGGUCUGAGAGGAUGACCAGCCACACUGGAACUGAGACACGGUCCAGACUCCUACGGGAGGCAGCAGUGGGGAAUAUUGCACAAUGGGCGCAAGCCUGAUGCAGCCAUGCCGCGUGUAUGAAGAAGGCCUUCGGGUUGUAAAGUACUUUCAGCGGGGAGGAAGGGAGUAAAGUUAAUACCUUUGCUCAUUGACGUUACCCGCAGAAGAAGCACCGGCUAACUCCGUG